Molecule: ribosomal RNA, 433 nt
Filed under: uncultured bacterium
Lineage: Bacteria
Description: partial 16S ribosomal RNA
Rfam family: Bacterial small subunit ribosomal RNA
Source: RNAcentral
AACGAACGCUGGCGGCAUGCCUAACACAUGCAAGUCGAACGAGACCUCCGUGUCUAGUUGCGCUCGGGUGCGGAACGUGUGGGAACCUGCCCUUAGGCUCGGAAAUACACUUCUUAAGGGGUGCUAAUAUCGGAUAACGUCUUCUGACCAAAGAUUCAUCGUCCUUGGAUGGGCCCGCGUUGGUUUAGCCAGUUGGUAGGGGAAAAGCCUACCACGGGGUCGAUCCAUAGCUGGUCUGAGAGGAAGGGCAGCCACACUGGGGCUGUGACGCGGCACAGACUCCUGCAGGAGGCAGGAAAGGGGGAUAUAGGAAUAUGGGGGGAGGGCUGAUGCAGCUAGGCCGGGAGAGUGAUGAAGGCCUUAGAGAUAUGAAGCUCUUUUACCCGGGAUGGUAAUGACGGUACCGAAAGAAUAAGCACCGGCUAACUCCGUG